UCCGGUUUGUCACCGGCAGUCACCUUAGAGUGCCCAACUUAAUGCUGGCAACUAAGAUCAAGGGUUGCGCUCGUUGCGGGACUUAACCCAACAUCUCACGACACGAGCUGACGACAACCAUGCACCACCUGUCAUUCGGUCCCCGAAGGGAACUCCCUAUCUCUAGGGACAUCCGAAGAUGUCAAGACCUGGUAAGGUUCUUCGCGUUGCUUCGAAUUAAACCACAUGCUCCACCGCUUGUGCGGGCCCCCGUCAAUUCUUUUGAGUUUCAGCCUUGCGGCCGUACUCCCCAGGCGGAGUGCUUAUUGCGUUAACUGCAGCACUAAGGGGCGGAAACCCCCUAACACCUAGCACUCAUCGUUUACGGCGUGGACUAC
RNAcentral lists this unclassified non-coding RNA (377 nucleotides) under uncultured Bacillaceae bacterium. RNAcentral's name for it is "contains 16S-23S intergenic spacer region". The record is from RNAcentral. Lineage: Bacteria; Bacillati; Bacillota; Bacilli; Caryophanales; Bacillaceae.